RNAcentral lists this long non-coding RNA (1552 nucleotides) under Lynx pardinus (Iberian lynx). The record is from RNAcentral. Lineage: Eukaryota; Metazoa; Chordata; Mammalia; Carnivora; Felidae.
UUCAAGCUGAGGGCUGAGGUGUAGGAAGGGGAGCAAGAACUCCUGGCGGAUGGAACCGCAAGAGCAAAGUCGUGGAGGCAAUAGGGGACAGGCGUUGGGGGAACUCCAAGUGGCUCUGGCUGGAGCAGCAUGUCAGGGUGUCUGGCAGGAUAGGGAGGAUGUGGACAGAGAAGGCUGGGAAGACCCGUGCAGACCUCGACAGGUUAAGCAGGUAGAGCUGAUGCCAGCUUCUCCAUCCAUCCCCAACACCCUGCCCCCUUCUGUCCUUCUUCGGGAGACAGGCUGGGCUGGCCCAGCCGGGUCCUGCACCACCACUGCCGCUGGAACCCCUGUGCUCACAUCCAGACUCCUCACAGCUCUCCUUUUCCUUGACCAGCCUACAGCUGGCCUACUCGCCCAACCCCAGCCCUUCAUGGGACGAUCCUAUCCUCCUUCUUCUGGCCAGCCACAGGCCAGAGUGGCUACCACCUCAGCUUCCCCUGCUCCUGGCUCCUGAGUACCUGGGGGUGCACCCCCUUCCUGCAGAGGCAGAAAACAGUGACACCAGGUGCAGAAUGAGGCCAUACUGGAAACAGAAUACUGGGGCACCCUCCUCUUAGAACGCAUGAUCUUCAGGGUAGAUGUUGAAUUCUAGUAACACAUUCCCUGGGGUGUUUUCAAAUCCAGACACACUGGAGCCUUGUUCCAGCCUCUCUCUGGCCCAAGACCUGGGCUCUCAUCCAGGCUCCGACUGCCUCUGGCUGUUGCCCUCUGCUCGUCCUGGCCGGCGGUGCUUACCAGGCCGGCCUUGCGGUCCCAGGGCUUCCCAAGUCCACUCCCUCCAGCCUCAGCUCCCGAGUGCCCACUCUUUGAUAUGCUCUUGCUCCUGAAUGCCACUUCUUUCUGCCAAGACCUCAGGCUCUGCCACACCCGGCCGAGUCUCCACUGACCUCGUGGCGCUCUGACCACUUGGAGAGCCCACCUCACCCGCCACCUACAUCUGGGAUGGUGAGCAGGAGCAGCCAAGUUUUAAAGACUUGCCAAUUUCCUCUGGAGUUCAAUUUCUUCCAAAGAGCCUGGCACAUCUCAGCUGCCAGUAUGAACUGUGAGUUCCCAGAGAUGCCGAUGGCACUUUCCAACAUUCAUCACUUUUGACACAUCUAAAAUAUCCUCGCUCCCAGCACUCUGUGAGCACCAGCCCAGAUGGACCGGCUGCCGAAGAAGUGUCAGUCUCUGAGAGGUCUCUGAGAGGCCCUGGGCAGAGGCUUCCUGACUGAGAAGCGUGUGCUCUCCACUCCCUCCCUCUGCCCCUUCUGAUGCUGAGCUGGUGAGUGGGCACCACUGGGCCCCAUCACAGCCCUCGCUGCCCAGCUUCCAAGCUCUAAACCAGUCUCCUUCCAUAGAACCCCUCACACCUUGGCUCCCCAUGGCUCCAAGCACUUUGCCAUCUUCCAGGCUCAGUUCUUCCAGAAGGGAAGCUGGCUACUUGGGAAUUCCCUGUGGGGUCACCUCUACUCUUUAAGGUCACGUGGAAAGAGCCUGACCUCCUGACCCAUCCAACAGCUGAAGUCAA